This 234-nucleotide ribosomal RNA is filed under the name uncultured bacterium. RNAcentral describes it as "partial 16S ribosomal RNA". It matches the Rfam family "Bacterial small subunit ribosomal RNA", at positions 118 to 347 of the family's 1533-position model. The record is from RNAcentral.
UGAGGAACAUGACCUUCGGCGGGGGAUAGCCGGCCCAACGGCCGGGUAAUACCGCGUACGACCACUUUGGGACAUCCCUCGGUGGUGAAAGCAGCAAUGCGCCGAUGGAGUGCCUCGCGGCCUAUCAGCUAGUUGGUGAGGUAACGGCUCACCAAGGCGACGACGGGUAGCUGGUCUGAGAGGAUGGCCAGCCACACUGGAACUGAGAUACGGUCCAGACUCCUACGGGAGCAG